GAUGAACGCUGGCGGCGUGCUUAACACAUGCAAGUCGAACGAAGCACUGUAUUUGUUUUCCUUCGGGACUGAGUAUUUUGUGACUGAGUGGCGGACGGGUGAGUAACGCGUGGGUAACCUGCCUUGUACAGGGGGAUAACAGAUGGAAACGGCUGCUAAUACCGCAUAAGCGUACAUCAUCGCAUGAUGCUGUGUGAAAAACUCCGGUGGUAUAGGAUGGACCCGCGUUGGAUUGGCUAGUUGGUGAGUUAACGGCCCACCAAGGCGACGAUCCCUAGACGACAUGAGAGAGUGACCGGCCACAUUUACACUAGGACACAGCACAAACUCCUACGCGAUGCGGCAGUGGCGGAUAUUGCACAAUGGGCGAAGGCCUGAUGCAGCGACGCCGCGUGAGCGAAGAAGUAUUUCGGUAUGUAAAGCGCUAUCAGCUGGGCACAUAUUGACGGUACCUGACUAAAAAGCACCGGCUAACUACGUG
Molecule: ribosomal RNA, 481 nt
Filed under: uncultured bacterium
Lineage: Bacteria
Description: partial 16S ribosomal RNA
Rfam family: Bacterial small subunit ribosomal RNA
Source: RNAcentral